This 424-nucleotide long non-coding RNA is filed under the name Homo sapiens (human). RNAcentral describes it as "non-protein coding LINC01572:21". The record is from RNAcentral. Lineage: Eukaryota; Metazoa; Chordata; Mammalia; Primates; Hominidae.
GUAUUUGAAUUUGUGGCGCUUGGUGUCCGCGAGUUGCCGAAUGAAGCUGAGCGUCUCAGUGGAACCAGGGAUCUCAGGGAGGGGAAGGUAUAAAAUUUUCAAAUGGAGGAGUAUACCUGAACCUAAUCAUGGAUGUGAUUUUAUAUACAGAUAAGCUGAUUCUAAAACUUACAAGAAUGGCAAAGAAACAAGAAGAGCUUAAACUGCAAUCAUCAACAGAGAAGCUUUCUGCAACCAAAGUGAAGACUGAAGCCUUAGGCUAUGGCAGAAGUUGGGCGCCUGAAGUACACGUGGAAAUAUGCCAACUGAACAUUGGACUACCACAGACAGGGUCUGGCUUUGUUGCCCUGGUCUUGAACUCCUGGCUUCAAGUGAUUUUCCUGCCUCAGCCUCCUGAAGUGCUGGAAUUACAGGCAUGAGCUGC